GUUGUAUGGUUAAGUGACUAAGCGUACACGGUGGAUGCCUUGGCAGUCAGAGGCGAUGAAAGACGUAGUAACUUGCGAUAAGCCCAGAUUAGGUAGUAACAACCAUUUGAGUCUGGGAUUUCUGAAUGGGGAAACCCACGUGCAUAAGCACGUAUCCUUACCUGAAUACAUAGGGUAAGGAGGCGAACCGGGGGAACUGAAACAUCUAAGUACCCCGAGGAAAAGAAAUCAACCGAGAUUCCGAAAGUAGCGGCGAGCGAAAUUGGACUAGCCCUUAAGCUUUACACGCGUUAGACGAACGGUCUGGAAAGUCCGACGAUACAGGGUGAUAGUCCCGUAGUUGACGACGUGUGUUCAGUGAAAUCGAGUAGGGCGGGACACGUGAUAUCCUGUCUGAAUAUGGGGGGACCAUCCUCCAAGGCUAAAUACUACUGACUGACCGAUAGUGAACCAGUACCGUGAGGGAAAGGCGAAAAGAACCCCUGUGAGGGGAGUGAAAUAGAACCUGAAACCGUGUACGUACAAGCAGUAGGAGCAGGCUUUGUCCUGUGACUGCGUACCUUUUGUAUAAUGGGUCAGCGACUUAUAUUCAGUGGCAAGGUUAACCAUCUAGGGGAGCCGUAGGGAAACCGAGUCUUAACUGGGCGUUCAGUCUCUGGAUAUAGACCCGAAACCAGGUGAUCUAGCCAUGGGCAGGUUGAAGGUUGAGUAACAUCAACUGGAGGACCGAACCGACUAAUGUUGAAAAAUUAGCGGAUGACUUGUGGCUAGGGGUGAAAGGCCAAUCAAACCUGGAGAUAGCUGGUUCUCCCCGAAAGCUAUUUAGGUAGCGCCUCGGACGAAUACUACUGGGGGUAGAGCACUGUUAAGGCUAGGGGGUCAUCCCGACUUACCAACCCUUUGCAAACUCCGAAUACCAGUAAGUACUAUCCGGGAGACACACGGCGGGUGCUAACGUCCGUCGUGGAGAGGGAAACAACCCAGACCGCCAGCUAAGGUCCCAAAUUACUACUAAGUGGGAAACGAUGUGGGAAGGCUCAGACAGCCAGGAUGUUGGCUUAGAAGCAGCCAUCAUUUAAAGAAAGCGUAAUAGCUCACUGGUCGAGUCGGCCUGCGCGGAAGAUGUAACGGGGCUAAGUAGUAAACCGAAGCUGCGGCAAUAUACUUUUGUAUAUUGGGUAGGGGAGCGUUCUGUAAGCGGUUGAAGGUGUGUGGUAACGCAUGCUGGACGUAUCAGAAGUGCGAAUGCUGACAUGAGUAACGAUAAAGGGGGUGAAAAACCUCCUCGCCGGAAGACCAAGGGUUCCUGUCCAACGUUAAUCGGGGCAGGGUAAGUCGACCCCUAAGGCGAGGCCGAAAGGCGUAGUCGAUGGGAAACGGGUUAAUAUUCCCGUACUUCUUACAAUUGCGAUGGGGGGACGGAGAAGGCUAGGUGGGCCUGGCGACGGUUGUCCAGGUUCAAGUGCGUAGGCUUUUUAAUGCUGAGAGCUGAUGACGAAGCCACUUUUAGUGGUGAAGUCAUUGAUGCCAUGCUUCCAGGAAAAGCCUCUAAGCUUCAGAUUGUAAGGAAUCGUACCCCAAACCGACACAGGUGGUCGGGUAGAGAAUACCAAGGCGCUUGAGAGAACUCGGGUGAAGGAACUAGGCAAAAUGGUACCGUAACUUCGGGAGAAGGUACGCUCUUGAUGGUGAAGUCCCUCGCGGAUGGAGCUGACGAGAGUCGCAGAUACCAGGUGGCUGCAACUGUUUAUUAAAAACACAGCACUGUGCAAAAUCGUAAGAUGACGUAUACGGUGUGACGCCUGCCCGGUGCCGGAAGGUUAAUUGAUGGGGUUAGACUUCGGUCGAAGCUCUUGAUCGAAGCCCCGGUAAACGGCGGCCGUAACUAUAACGGUCCUAAGGUAGCGAAAUUCCUUGUCGGGUAAGUUCCGACCUGCACGAAUGGCGUAAUGAUGGCCACGCUGUCUCCACCCGAGACUCAGUGAAAUUGAAAUCGCUGUGAAGAUGCAGUGUACCCGCGGCUAGACGGAAAGACCCCGUGAACCUUUACUACAGCUUGGCACUGAACAUUGACCCUACAUGUGUAGGAUAGGUGGGAGGCUUUGAAGCACGUACGCCAGUAUGUGUGGAGCCGUCCUUGAAAUACCACCCUUGUAGUGUUGAUGUUCUAACGUCGACCCCUUAUCGGGGUUGCGGACAGUGCCUGGUGGGUAGUUUGACUGGGGCGGUCUCCUCCCAAAGAGUAACGGAGGAGCACGAAGGUGGGCUAAUCACGGUUGGACAUCGUGAGGUUAGUGCAAUGGCAUAAGCCCGCUUGACUGCGAGAAUGACAAUUCGAGCAGGUGCGAAAGCAGGUCAUAGUGAUCCGGUGGUUCUGAAUGGAAGGGCCAUCGCUCAACGGAUAAAAGGUACUCCGGGGAUAACAGGCUGAUACCGCCCAAGAGUUCAUAUCGACGGCGGUGUUUGGCACCUCGAUGUCGGCUCAUCACAUCCUGGGGCUGAAGUCGGUCCCAAGGGUAUGGCUGUUCGCCAUUUAAAGUGGUACGCGAGCUGGGUUUAGAACGUCGUGAGACAGUUCGGUCCCUAUCUGCCGUGGGCGUUGGAAGAUUGAAGGGGGCUGCUCCUAGUACGAGAGGACCGGAGUGGACGAACCUCUGGUGUUCGGGUUGUGUCGCCAGACGCAUUGCCCGGUAGCUAAGUUCGGAAUCGAUAACCGCUGAAAGCAUCUAAGCGGGAAGCGAGCCCUGAGAUGAGUCUUCCCUGAUACUUUAAGUAUCCUAAAGGGUUGUCGGAGACUACGACGUUGAUAGGUCAGGUGUGUAAGUGCUGUGAGGCAUUGAGCUAACUGAUACUAAUUGCCCGUGAGGCUUAACCAUACAACACCCAAGGGGUUU
RNAcentral lists this ribosomal RNA (2894 nucleotides) under Vibrio parahaemolyticus. RNAcentral describes it as "bacterial LSU rRNA". It matches the Rfam family "Bacterial large subunit ribosomal RNA". The record is from RNAcentral. Lineage: Bacteria; Pseudomonadati; Pseudomonadota; Gammaproteobacteria; Vibrionales; Vibrionaceae.